Molecule: non-coding RNA, 48 nt
Filed under: Schistosoma haematobium
Lineage: Eukaryota; Metazoa; Platyhelminthes; Trematoda; Strigeidida; Schistosomatidae
Source: RNAcentral
AGCCAGCUGAUGAGUCCCAAAUAGGACAAUACGCGCGUCAAACUGAAU